Molecule: RNA transcript, 5956 nt
Organism: Ictalurus furcatus (blue catfish)
Lineage: Eukaryota; Metazoa; Chordata; Actinopteri; Siluriformes; Ictaluridae
Gene: pola1
Gene name: polymerase (DNA directed), alpha 1
Exons: 34
Source: RefSeq, a predicted model, not a curated record
UAAAUUUAAAGGAAUAUGUUUGAAAAUUAGAGAAACAACUAAAAAAAUAACGCCAAGCAAUUUUGUUUGAAAAAACAAACAGUAUUUAUAUUUUUACUCCGUCUUGCGAAACAGUGACACCGCGUGGACAUGCUUGAAACUGCAGCAGCAGCCUUUAUCUGAAUUCUGAUUGGCUAUUUCUUGGCUCUUUUUGUGACGACACUUCCGGUAUAUGACUUUUUCCCCGGGAAGGCGAUUUGGCGCGGAAUCUGUUGUUUUUGGUUUCUUCCUCUGGUGUCACCCUGAAAUUUUUUUAAGCAAAUGGCGCCGGUUUCUAAUCAAGAAAAAGACGCGGAUAGCGGGGAUUACGAUGUUGGGGCCAAUUGCGGUCUCGCCGCAUCCCGCUCCAGACGAGAGAGAAAAGAGAAAGUGGGUCGUAAAUCCGCCUUGGAGCAGCUUAAAAGAGCCAAAAAGGGCGAGAAGGUGAAAUAUGAGGUGGAGGAGAUGGAGAGCGUGUACGAGGAGGUGGAUGAGGAUCAGUACUCUCGGAUGGUCCGGGAGAGACAGGACGACGACUGGAUCGUUGAUGACGAUGGAGCAGGUUACGUAGAAGACGGCAGAGAGAUCUUUGAUGAAGAUCUGCAGGGUACCGACUCGGAAAAAAGCUCUAAGAACAAAUCUGGUGCUAAAGGAGGAGACACCAAGAACGCUAAGAAAGCAUCCGUGAGUAAACCCAACAACAUCAAGAGUAUGUUCAUGAACAGCAACGUCAAAAAACCCGCCGAGAAAAAUGUGGACCUGUCCAAAGAUGAUCUGUUGGGAGACAUUUUGGAGGAUCUGCACGCCGAGAAACCGGUGCUUUUUACUCCUCCACCUGUCAUCACCCUGAAGAAAAAGAAAGCCCUGGGAGCACCCAUGAACCCUUUCUCUGUCCAAUCAAAAACCCCCAAGGAGACACCUGUAGCUCUGGCGUCAAAGCCCAAGCAUGCCGUGAUCCGCCCUCCUCCGUCUGAUCUCUCACCUAAACCAGCGUCUAAACCCGCCCCCUCCGUCCACCCCCAAAAACCCGAGGUGGAGGAAUCCGAGGAAGCGUACGACUCGUUAGAUUUUGACGGGGCGGACUUCGAUGAGCCGAUGGAGCUGGGGGCUGAGAGGCAGGUGGAAACGGAGAUUAAAGCAGAGCCGGAACCCGAGGGCGAGGUGUUGACAUCAGGCAUGGUGGGCGGCUCCUGCUGGGGGAAGAUGGAGGAGCAGGAGGAUGACGAGUCUCCCGUGGAGGUGCAGGUGGACUCCAGUCAACUGCCGAUGGCGGAGGGAGCUGAUGGAGAAAUGGUGUUCCGCUUUUAUUGGCUGGACGCUUUCGAGGAUCAGUUCAACCAACCAGGUGUGGUGUACCUGUUCGGGAAGGUGUGGAUUGAGUCUGCUAAAGCGCACGUCAGCUGCUGCGUGGCCGUGAAAAACAUCGAGAGGACUAUGUACUUCUUGCCAAGAGAGCGCAAGAUAAACCUGGCGAGCGGUGAGGAGACGGACGUUCCAGUCGGAAUGAUGGACGUCUACCAGGAGUUUAACAGCCUCUCUGAAAAAUACAAAAUAAUGAAGUUCAAGUCCAAGAAAGUUGAGAAGAACUACGCCUUCGAGAUUCCGGACGUACCUACACAGAGCGAGUACCUGGAAGUGCGAUACUCUGCCGAGAUGCCUCAGCUGCCGUCCAAUCUAAAAGGCUCCACCUUCUCGCAUGUGUUUGGUACGAACACCUCCAGCCUGGAGCAUUUCCUCCUCAGCAGGAAGAUCCGAGGACCCUGCUGGCUCAAUGUUAAGACCCCUCAGCUGUGCAGUCAGCCGAUGAGCUGGUGUAAAGUGGAGGCCAUCGCGCUGAAAAGCGAGCUGAUCUCAGUGGUGAAGGACCUGCCUCCUCCUCCGCUCGUCGUCAUGUCCAUCAGCCUGAAGACGGUUCCCAACCCAAAGACCCACCACAACGAGAUCGUGUCUCUGGCUGCUCUUAUUCAUUACAAGUUUCCUCUGGACAAGGCACCUCCACGUAUUCCUUAUCAGACCCAUUUCUGUGUGGUGAACAAGCCCACGGACUGCAUCUAUCCCUACGACUUCAAGGAUGCGGUUAAGAAGAAGAACGGGAUUGUAGAGAUGGCAGCGACAGAACGAACUCUCUUGGGCUUCUUCUUGGCCAAGUUGCACAAGAUCGAUCCUGACGUUUUGGUGGGGCAUGACAUCUUGGGCUUUGACCUGGAAGUCCUGCUGCAGAGGAUCAACAUGUGUAAGGUGCCCUUCUGGUCCAAAAUCGGCCGACUGAGGCGGGCCAACAUGCCCAAACUUGGGGGCCGAGGCGGUUUCGCAGAGAAGAGCGCCGCCUGUGGCAGACUCGUGUGUGACGUCGAAAUCUCCGCUAAGGAGCUGAUUCGCUGUAAGAGUUACCACCUGACUGAACUGGCAGCGCAGAUCCUUAAGACGGAGCGAGCCAUGGUGCCUCCUGAGAACAUCAGGAACUUGUACAGUGACUCUCCUCAUCUGCUCUACCUGUUGGAACUCACCUGGAUGGACGCUAAGCUCAUCCUGCAGAUCAUGUGCGAGCUCAACGUGCUUCCUCUGGCGCUUCAGAUCACCAACAUCGCCGGCAACGUCCUGUCCCGGACGCUGAUGGGUGGCCGCUCGGAGAGGAACGAGUACCUGCUGCUUCACGCCUUCCACGAGAGGAACUACAUCGUUCCAGACAAACAUUUCAUGAAGAAACAUCAACAUGAGCCUGGUGAGGAUGAUGAUGUAGAUGUAGGGAAGAAUAAGUCUGGGAAGGUGAGGAGGAAGGCUGCAUACGCUGGAGGUCUGGUCCUGGAACCUAAAAUUGGUUUUUAUGAUAAGUUCAUUCUGCUUCUGGACUUCAACAGUCUGUACCCAUCCAUCAUCCAGGAGUUUAACAUCUGUUUCACUACGGUUCAGCGCGAGGCGUCCGGCUCACGCAAAAAGAUCGAGCAGGACGAGGACGCGGACGAGGUUCCGGACCUUCCGGACCCGGAUCUGGAGAUGGGCGUUCUUCCGAAGGAGAUCCGUAAGCUGGUGGAGCGCAGGCGGCAGGUCAAACAGCUGAUGAAGCAGCCUGAUCUGAACCCUGACCUUUACCUGCAGUAUGAUAUCAGACAGAAGGCUCUGAAACUCACUGCUAACAGCAUGUAUGGGUGUCUGGGCUUCUCCUACAGUCGCUUCUAUGCCAAACCUCUGGCUGCUCUCGUCACACACAAGGGUAGAGAGAUCCUAAUGCACACCAAAGACAUGGUUCAGAAGAUGAAUCUGGAUGUGAUUUACGGAGACACCGAUUCCAUCAUGAUCAACACCAACAGCUCCAACCUGGACGAGGUCUUCAAACUGGGCAACAAGGUGAAGAGUGAAGUGAAUAAACUGUACCGACUGCUGGAGCUGGACAUCGACGGCGUGUUUAAGUCCCUGCUGCUGCUGAAGAAGAAGAAGUACGCCGCUCUGAUGGUGGAGCCGCUGGGAGAGGGCCGCUACACCACCAAGCAGGAGCUGAAAGGCCUGGACAUCGUUCGUAGGGACUGGUGCGGCCUCGCAAAGGAGUGCGGCAACUAUGUGAUCGGUCAGAUUUUGUCGGAUCAGAACCGUGACGUGAUCCUGGAGAACAUCCAGCAGCAUCUGAUCGAGGUUGGGGAGAAGGUGGCCAACGGCAGUGUCCCUCUCAACAUGUUCGAGAUCCACAAGGCUCUGACGAAGGACCCUCAGGACUACCCGGAUAAGAAGAGUCUCCCACAUGUGCAUGUGGCCCUGUGGAUCAACUCUCAAGGAGGCCGGAAGGUCAAGGCAGGAGACACCGUGUCCUACAUCAUCUGUCAGGACGGCUCGAAUCUAACAGCAAGCCAAAGGGCGUAUGCUCCGGAGCAGCUCCAGAAGCAGCCGGGUCUGAGCCUGGACACGCAGUACUACCUGUCGCAGCAGGUUCACCCCGUGGUGGGGCGAAUCUGUGAGCCCAUCGAGGGUAUCGAUGCCGUCCUGAUCGCCACGUGGCUGGGUCUGGACCCGGGGCAGUUCCGGGCCCAGCAGAGGCAGCAGCGAGAGGAGGAGUCGGAUGGGUUCCUGGGCGUUCCGGCUCAGUUGACGGACGAAGAACGGUAUCGCGAUUGCGAGAGGUUCUCCUUCGCUUGUCCCGAGUGCGGCACGGAGAACAUCUACGACAGCGUGUUUGAGGGAACGGUGAGUCUUCCUCAAGGUCGUUCGUUACAUAACUGGAGAAAACGCUGAAGUAACUAUUUCAUAGAUUUAUUCAUAUUUAUGAAAAUAAUAAUAAUAAUUAAUCGUGCACUGAUAGUUUGUUUCGAAAAUUGUAUGCUUUUUUUUUUUUUUUUUUUUUUUUUUUUUGUACUUGGUGAAAUUGAUACUGAAUUGCAUAUCUUACUCGCUAUUAAUAAAUCGGUGAUGUCACCGUACAUUUUAUUUCGCUCAUUUUAGGUUUCCCCGGUUCAAACGGCAGCCAUGAAAAGCUCCCACGUGUGUUCAGUCACUUUAAUUGAUGGCAGGUGUACGCUAAUUAGUAUUUAACAUGAGUUUGAAUGUGAUUGAUUGAUUAAUUUGAUUGAUUGAUUUCACAAUAAAAGGUAGAAUAUGUUCUGACAUGAUUUAUCUCGGUUUAAUUUUAUUAUUUUUUUUACGUCACAAAAAACCUGCCGUUUUAACAGGGGUGUGUAAACUUUUUAUAUCCACCGUAGCUACAGAUCAAGUGAAGAGCGGGUUUUGUUUCACUCCAAGCGUGCUCCCGUACACCUGUAAAGUAAAGGUUUCGCUUUCAUCGCAUCCGAAUCCCUCGAUGUCGCCGAUAUUCGGAUAUCAAUCGAUCGGCGUGUUUUGUUUUGUUUUGGUUUUUUUUGGUGUUUUUUUUUUUAAAAAAAAGUAUUUGUUUAUUUAUUUAAUAUAUUGAACUUUUCUCGCUUAGCCAGUGUUUCCUGCGAGCGACGAACUCCUCGUGCUGAGUUUUAUCGCUUGUAUUAUCGGACGACGCUGCAAUUCCUCCUUAUGCUUUGAUCGGCGUCUGUAAUCGUGAGACACGCCCAGACCGCUGUCAUCUGUUUUAGCGUGAACCCAGGAUUACGUCACAGAGUAUCACCUGAUAUCUGAGCGGUUCCUCUGAUCUCACUUUGAGAACUGCUGUUAUAAUGGCUGUUCUCUUUAAUUUUAGCUGUUGGGUAGUGGGAGUGCAUGUUGUCCCACCACAUCACCCCUCCCCCCAGACGCAGGACAGCUGUCCGAUUCAGUUAAAGGAGCGGAGUCUUAUCUACAUCUAAUUAAAAGUUAAACGCAGCGACGCGCAGCUUUCCCUCAUCUUUCUGUAACUUGUAAAAAAAAAAAAAAAAGUCACGCACUCCCUCCCUCGCCGAGCCGUGUCCUCCUAGCGUGUCGGAGAACUCGCACUCUUUCACAAGGACCUCUAAUGCAGACUAACAGGGAGAAAUAAAGUGUGCGCGCAUAGUUUGCUUAGAACGUCCUCACUUUUCCGACUUUGAUUUGCCCUCCCACACACGCACACACACACACGCACGGCUGCUCAUGCCUCGCUGAUAAGCCCGUGUAAUAAUUAAGAGCGUGGUAUUUCGGAGCAUCUGUGUAGAAGGGAGGGAGGGGGAAAACCGAGCGCGCAGGAGGAAAAGCCUUGACUCUCUCAGCCAAGCCGUCCAGCGAGAAGCUUUUUCUUUCGUUCUUAUCAGAGACGAGGGAGGAGGAGAGCAGGAAUGCAAACACACUCUCGGCCCGAGAGAGGCGAAAGAGUAUUUGCAUAGAAGCACUGUUCCUCUCAAAGUGCUAUCCAAUGAUGGGGAGUAAACAUCAUAAACAGGCUAAUGGCUCACGGAGACUACCGGUGGUCCGAUCCAACAGGCGGCUGAGCGCUCUCCUCCUGUCAUAAAGGGCAUGUGAUGGAACCGAGUCUGAAGCGCUGCUGUCACAUCCCUUGUAAUGCGAGCCCACU